CGGGCGUGCGCGCUGCCGUGGACGUCAGGCGCGCGGGGAGCUCGGUUGCGCGCGGGCGCUGGGCGCGGCAUCGCGCGGUGUGCGCGCGGGGCGGCUCGGCGGGCAGCGGCUCGGUCGCUUGCAGGGCGCUUGGCCUGGGCGACGCAGGGGGUUCGGGUGUAGGAGAGUUGGGGAGGGGCGCUCGGUGGAGAGAGGAGCAGUCAGAGGUGGAAGAAGGGCGCCGAGCACAGGGAGCUUUGGACGCCAUGGAACAGGGAGGGCGCGGCUGGAGGAGCUUCGGCGGCCCUAGACAAAUGGAGCCCGCGCCAUGGCUGGAGAGCUCCUGCUCUAGGGGAGCUCGGCCAUGGAGGCCGCUGGGAGAUGGGAGCCGCUGCUCGCCUGCAGGGGACGCGCCCAUGGGGAGGAGGUCAGGGAGCGCCGGCGUUGAGGGAGCUCGGCGGCCAUGGGAGGCCCCUGCGCUGGCUGCUGUUGUGGUGCUCGGUGUAGGAGCACGGCGGCCAUGGGAGGUGCUGGCGGAUCCGCCACCGGCGGUGCGGAUCCAGGGAGAAGAGGGCCGUCCGCUUCCACGCGCACCCGCGCCGCGCGCCGUCGGAGCUGGGGGCUGCGCGCCGAGGCUGGGCAGCCACGCCCGCGCCGAGCUGCGAGGGGCCGCGCCCGUCACAGCCGCGCCAUUGGAAGGGGCCGCCCCGGGAGGGAGGAGCCUCCCGGGGGCGGCGGCGGCUCAGGUGGGAGGCGGCUGCUC
Molecule: unclassified non-coding RNA, 742 nt
Filed under: Zea mays
Lineage: Eukaryota; Viridiplantae; Streptophyta; Magnoliopsida; Poales; Poaceae
Description: misc RNA Zm00001eb044000
Source: RNAcentral